GCCUCUGUAGCUCAGUUGGUUUAAAUAGAGCGUUACACCAAAGUUGCAGGUUUGAUUCCUGUCAGAGAGG
Paramuricea clavata is the source of this 70-nucleotide non-coding RNA. NCBI's taxonomy places the organism in Eukaryota, Metazoa, Cnidaria, Anthozoa, Malacalcyonacea, Plexauridae. The record is from the annotation of a GenBank genome assembly.